UUGAAACAGUGGUUCCCAUACAAUCACUGAAGUUAAGCAACAUUGAGUCGGGUCAGUACCUAGAUGGGUAACCACCUGGGAAUAUUGUGUACUGUAA
Molecule: non-coding RNA, 97 nt
Organism: Acanthosepion pharaonis
Lineage: Eukaryota; Metazoa; Mollusca; Cephalopoda; Sepiida; Sepiidae
Source: the annotation of a GenBank genome assembly